UAGUGUUACAGCUCUUUUAGGAUUUGUCUAGCAGGUUUUUCCGUUUUUACUGGAAAGCCCCC
Molecule: small nuclear RNA, 62 nt
Organism: Papio anubis (olive baboon)
Lineage: Eukaryota; Metazoa; Chordata; Mammalia; Primates; Cercopithecidae
Gene: U7
Rfam family: U7 small nuclear RNA
About the family: Animal histone pre-mRNAs are spliced by a different mechanism than nuclear pre-mRNAs and self-splicing introns.
Source: Ensembl